AUUGAACGCUGGCGGCAUGCCUUACACAUGCAAGUCGAACGGUAACAGGGAGCUUGCUCCGCUGACGAGUGGCGAACGGGUGAGUAAUGUAUCGGAACGUACCAUUCAGUGGGGGAUAACGUAGCGAAAGUUACGCUAAUACCGCAUAUUCUGUGAGCAGGAAAGCAGGGGAUCGCAAGACCUUGCGCUGAUUGAGCGGCCGAUAUCAGAUUAGCUAGUUGGUGAGGUAAAGGCUCACCAAGGCGACGAUCUGUAGCGGGUCUGAGAGGGAUGAUCCGCCACACUGGAACUGAGACACGGUCCAGACUCCUACGGGAGGCAGCAGUGGGGAAUUUUGGACAAUGGGGGCAACCCUGAUCCAGCCAUGCCGCGUGAGUGAAGAAGGCCUUCGGGUUGUAAGCUCUUUCGGCCGGGAAAAAUCGCAUCAGUUAAUACCUGGUGUGGAUGAUGGUACCGGAAUAAGAAGCACCGGCUAACU
This 478-nucleotide ribosomal RNA is filed under the name uncultured bacterium. RNAcentral's name for it is "bacterial SSU rRNA". It matches the Rfam family "Bacterial small subunit ribosomal RNA", at positions 30 to 502 of the family's 1533-position model. The record is from RNAcentral.